AAUAGAUACCCGGGUAGUCCACGCCGUAAACGAUGAGUGCUAAGUGUUAGAGGGGUUUCCGCCCUUUAGUGCUGCAGCUAACGCAUUAAGCACUCCGCCUGGGGAGUACGGUCGCAAGACUGAAACUCAAAGGAAUUGACGGGGGGCCCGCACAAGCGGUGGAGCAUGUGGUUUAAUUCGAAGCAACGCGAAGAAUCUUACCAGGUCUUGACAUCCUCUGACAACCCUAGAGAUAGAGCGUUCCCCCUUCGGGGGGACAGAGUGACAGGUGGUGCAUGGUUGUCGUCAGCUCGUGUCGUGAGAUGUUGGGUUAAGUCCCGCAACGAGCGCAACCCUUGAUCUUAGUUGCCAGCAUUUAGUUGGGCACUCUAAGGUGACUGCCGGUGACAAACCGGAGGAAGGUGGGGAUGACGUCAAAUCAUCAUGCCCCUUAUGACCUGGGCUACACACGUGCUACAAUGGAUGGUACAAAGGGCUGCAAGACCGCGAGGUCAAGCCAAUCCCAUAAAACCAUUCUCAGUUCGGA
This 526-nucleotide ribosomal RNA is filed under the name uncultured bacterium. RNAcentral's name for it is "bacterial SSU rRNA". It matches the Rfam family "Bacterial small subunit ribosomal RNA", at positions 777 to 1297 of the family's 1533-position model. The record is from RNAcentral.